UUAAAGCAAUCAUGAUGUAUAUGCAGGAAGGAAUUUGUGAAAAUUUGGAUUUCAUUUUCUACUGUUGAACUUUAUUAGAUAUUGAGAUGGGUGUUAGUUUUUUGGAAAAACAGUUUGAACGUGAAACAUAGGAUAACAGCAGUCAAAAAAUCUUGCCAGUCCAGCCCAUUAGCCUUGGUGGCACUGGCCAGUUUUUAUUAUAAACGGAGACGGGAGAUUCGAUCUUGUGCCUCUUCCAACAUUGUGAAAAGAUGCAAGAGCUAGUACUGUGCUGUAUUUUCUGUUCUCAUGUCAUCUAGACUUGUAUUUA
Long non-coding RNA from Prunus dulcis (almond), 310 nucleotides. RefSeq lists it as uncharacterized. NCBI's taxonomy places the organism in Eukaryota, Viridiplantae, Streptophyta, Magnoliopsida, Rosales, Rosaceae. The transcript is spliced from 2 exons. The record is from RefSeq and is a predicted model, not a curated record.